GGGUCCGAUGCAAUAAUGACUGCAAGACUCCUCAGACCAGUCCGUGACUGCCGCGUGGCCCACUCACCGUGGCAAGCGGCUAGAGGUGGCCGAUAAUUAGUAAAACCAUUAUGGCACCGUACCUGGGACUGCGCUCUAACGCGAAUUUCAAAAAAAAAAAAUCUUUUCCGAAAAGGCUCCAGUACCAGCGUACCGAACGUCAAAAUAUCUGGCAACCACUGAGUACGAAAAUCGAGGAGAGCAGCUUCGGCCGUGAGAAUUUCUCUGUACUUCCUUCAUUUGGAAUCCGAACUCGAAAGUAGGGAGACCGGUGUUGGGUAUAAAGUACCCCCCGACCGAAGUUUAUAAAAGAUCGAUCCCUCCAGGGCUCUUCCGGCUCCCGACCUUAUGUGUGGCGUCUCUCCGAACCCCCUCAACCGUCCGGACUUCUUCGACAAUGAACUUCUGCAUUCAUCCACUGGGCCACCCCAAAGGCCCUCAGGGCUCCACUGUUAGCCGACCUUC
RNAcentral lists this long non-coding RNA (504 nucleotides) under Elaeis guineensis (African oil palm). Its description in RNAcentral is "long non-coding RNA (EGUI_LNC008054)". The record is from RNAcentral. Lineage: Eukaryota; Viridiplantae; Streptophyta; Magnoliopsida; Arecales; Arecaceae.